Cinara cedri is the source of this 760-nucleotide non-coding RNA. The record is from the annotation of a GenBank genome assembly. Lineage: Eukaryota; Metazoa; Arthropoda; Insecta; Hemiptera; Aphididae.
AAUAGUAUAUUAACCGAUGUAGAAUCUUUUACGUAUGAUGUUUUCGGAUCCAUUUGUUUAUUACAAGAGGAAUCGGGAAGCCAUUAGAUACCUACACCAUGAUAAGGAAUAUUGAACAGAGUGCUUACAACACUAAAAGGUUUUCAUUGGCACGAUCAUGUACGAUUAAUGUAACAUUUGACGAUCUCGUCGACCAUAUGCCCGGUUUCGGUAGUAUUGUUUCACAAAGAAGAAAUCUGCAUCAAAAUUUAAGCGUGUGUAAUGUAAGUAAUUUCCAAACAUACCGGUCAAAAAUAAAUACCGAGUAUAAUUUAAAACGUGAUAUUAAUCAGUAAUAUAUUUUAUAGCUACGUAACACAUAGAUUAUCGAGUAUGCCUUCAAAUUCCCUAAUAACUAAUAAGUGAUGCUCGACACGUAUACAACGACAACAAAAUCCAAAUGGUAACGAAAACGUAAGUCUUAAAGUUUUGCGACAGAAUUUUUUUUUUUUUGUACAAAACUCGACGAUUACAUUAUCAUAAUUAAUAGUUUGGAGAAUCUCGAGACUUUAUGCGUGCAAAACAGCUAAUGAGUUUAAUCUUUCCACAUCUAUACGGUAGAACGAAGAUGUACAACUUUAUUCUUUGCAAUGCUUCAAUGUUUCUCUCUGCACAACAAUAUUCGUUGCGAAAGUUCAUAAAAACAUACGUAAUGCUGUUGUGACAUUUGUAUAAACAUUAAUGAGAUCAUUUGUGUGUAACGUUUUACAAAGUUUCCGAG